CAGGAGUGCUCCCCUCCAGCCACGGGUCCCAGCCUGGUGGGGAGAGGUGGGUGCAGCCUCUCUGCUGUGCACUUUGUCCAUAUCAGGCAGCUGUUGAGUCUGCUGGUGUGGCCAUGAAACAGGGCGCUCAGAGCUGCUCAGCUGUAAGGAGCGAUGGACCUUGACCGCCAAAAGGGCCUGUGAACAGGCCUUAGUCAUCUUCCCAGAGGAGAGAAACAUUGAAAACGAAGCUGGAGAAGAGAAUUAACAUCUGCCAAACUUCCCACUCUGUCAGCACCAUGUAGUUUCUCAGGAUAUGGAGAGGAAGAAGACAAGGAGUCUACUGUCUAGGACACAGACAAGUUGCUUAAUUUUUAGAAUUUUAAAAAAUGUCUGCUUCCUCUAACUUGAAUAUAAGCUGCAGGACAGCAGGGAGUUCCUUCAUCCUGUUUGGCAAGGCAUCCCUGGAACUGGCAGCGUGUCACACACGUGGGAGACUCUCAAUAAACACUCAUUAACUUACUGGAACAACUGCAAUAUUGCAAAGUAAGAAUGGAAGUGUGAUCAAGGUGCUGGAAGAAUGGUGGAGAAAGUAAAAGCCAGAGAGGUGACAAUGGGACUGGGUUUUGAAGGAUGAAUAGGAGUUCAUCGAGGAGUGAAGGGCCCUCAUUGUCCAUCCUCCAACCCAAGGCCUUGGGACCACUCAGAAGCUCCAGAAGGAGGCUGGAGCCACUCCAUCCACCAAGACUUGAAAGGCCCAGGAAAUGCAGAAAGUAGAGAGGAAGAUAAAAAUUACCUACAACACCGCCAUCCAGACAUAACCACUGCUCGUUAACAUUCUGGCUCUCAGAAGGGAAUUCACUUUGGACCAACACUGAGGAACUGUUUCAGGACUCCUGAUCCAAACCGUCAAAAUACUUUCCAGAAAGGCUGAGACAACCUGGGCUGCCAGCAGCCCCAGAACCCACAGAGGCAGGUGGCCCUCUGGCAUCAAGCAGUGCAGGAUGGACCCCUGCCUCCCUCAUUCCUUGUGGGGCGCCCUAUCUCCCGGACAGAGGUCUGUGAGCACAGUCCUGGGCACGUGGUGGGAAGCGGAGACCAGAGAUGCGCUAUGGAGCUCAGUGCAGUCUGGCAGGGCAGCAAGCGAAGGCGAGGCUGGACAGCGAAUAAACAAAGAAAACGGCCAGUCCUUCCCGAGAGAGGCUGUGCAGAGAGCAGAGCUGGUGCGAUGGACGUACCUUUGCGGCAGGGGCUAUUCCUCCGAGGAAAGACCUCCCGGGAUCUGAGUGACUGGAGACAGCUCUCCCAGGUUGAAAGGGCAGGGGGACCGCAGGAGGAAAAGCCCUCGCGGGGCUCAGCCUCGAGCAGAGCCAGCAGGGCGAGAGGCGGGCAGGCCAGGGAGCUGGGCUUCCUUUCAAGAAGCCGCGUGAACCCCGGGCGGUCUGCAAGCAGGCCCACUCAGCUGUUAGAAGGAUCACGGCAAGCUGCUGGGUGGAGACCGUGGGGCCCCAGCCCCGGAAACGGGGUCACCAGGUAGCAGACGCUGCAGGGCAUGUGGUGAGAGGCAGUGGACGAGGGCGAGGAGAUGGGGGACGUGGAGGGAGAUGGGGAGAUGCCAGCUCAAGGGGACAAUGACCUUAAGGUGUGGGAAGGGCUGUCUGUGGAGGGAAAGGGAGGCUGGCUCCUCCUGCAGAAUCAGGACCUCCUGCCCCUCCCCCACUUACUGUUUGGCGGUCCGCGCUCAAAACUGGAACCCAGUACCCAGCAGGGAUUUGGCAGGUCAGUUGUUAGAAAUUGAAUGCACUGAAUAAACACACAUGAAAGUGGCUGGUUGAA
This is a long non-coding RNA of Phacochoerus africanus (Common warthog), 1815 nucleotides long. RefSeq lists it as uncharacterized. The record is from RefSeq and is a predicted model, not a curated record. NCBI's taxonomy places the organism in Eukaryota, Metazoa, Chordata, Mammalia, Artiodactyla, Suidae. The transcript is spliced from 4 exons.